RNAcentral lists this ribosomal RNA (468 nucleotides) under uncultured bacterium. RNAcentral describes it as "partial 16S ribosomal RNA". It matches the Rfam family "Bacterial small subunit ribosomal RNA", at positions 28 to 507 of the family's 1533-position model. The record is from RNAcentral.
GACGAACGCUGGCGGCGUGCUUAACACAUGCAAGUCGAACGGAAAGGCCCUGCUUUUGUGGGGUGCUCGAGUGGCGAACGGGUGAGUAACACGUGAGUAACCUGCCCUUGACUUUGGGAUAACUUCAGGAAACUGGGGCUAAUACCGGAUAGGAGCUCCUGCUGCAUGGUGGGGGUUGGAAAGUUUCGGCGGUUGGGGAUGGACUCGCGGCUUAUCAGCUUGUUGGUGGGGUAGUGGCUUACCAAGGCUUUGACGGGUAGCCGGCCUGAGAGGGUGGCCGGCCACAUUGGGACUGAGAUACGGCCCAGACUCCUACGGGAGGCAGAAGUGGGGAAUAUUGCACAGUGGGCGGAAGCCUGAUGCAGCAGCGCCGCGUGCGGGAUGACGGCCUUCGGGUUGUAAACCGCUUUCGCCUGUAACGAAGCGUGAGUGACGGUAAUGGGUAAAGAAGCACCGGCUAACUACGUG